This 249-nucleotide long non-coding RNA is filed under the name Mytilus galloprovincialis (Mediterranean mussel). The record is from RNAcentral. Lineage: Eukaryota; Metazoa; Mollusca; Bivalvia; Mytilida; Mytilidae.
UUUUUCAGGGGGGCUAGAAUGAAAAAUUUUGUCCUGCUUUUUUUUUAGUUGUAAUCUCUGUCCUGCCUUUUUAUUUUUUACUCUAUUCGGUCCUGCCAUUUUUUUUACUAGUUUAUCCUGACUUUUUUUACACAAAUUGUCAUCCUGCCUUUUUUUUAACAAGUUUCUUAUCCUGUCUUUUUUUUACUCAAAACUUCUGUCCUGCCUAUUUUUUUCAAAUUUCAUCCUAGCCCCCCAUAAAAAUCAAAU